Non-coding RNA from Vicia faba (fava bean), 279 nucleotides. NCBI's taxonomy places the organism in Eukaryota, Viridiplantae, Streptophyta, Magnoliopsida, Fabales, Fabaceae. The record is from the annotation of a GenBank genome assembly.
AUGGCCAGUACUGUCAAUUUGGAAGAUGUCAUUGUACCGGGUAUUCCCGUUUUUGAAGAGAUCGCCAUGAACAUCAUCACUUAUGGCCCCUCUAAUAUCAAGUUCCGCGAAACUGAUGCUUCUCUCACAAAGUUCAACCUGGAAAGCAACAACGCUUUGGAUUACAAAUUAAAAUCCAACAUCACAGCAAGAAAUUCCUACAAGAGUGUUGAAGUAUACUACAAGAGGGUCACUGUAAUUGCAUGGUACAAAGAUCUUGAAAGGAAUAACAGUGACUGA